Molecule: ribosomal RNA, 253 nt
Filed under: uncultured bacterium
Lineage: Bacteria
Description: partial 16S ribosomal RNA
Rfam family: Bacterial small subunit ribosomal RNA
Source: RNAcentral
GACAGAGGGUGCAAACGUUGUUCGGAAUUACUGGGCGUAAAGCGCGUGUAGGCGGCCCUGCAAGUCGGAUGUGAAAUCCCACGGCUCAACCGUGGAAGUGCAUUCGAAACUGCAGGGCUAGAGUCCUGGAGAGGAAGGUGGAAUGCUUGGUGUAGCGGUGAAAUGCGCAGAUAUCAGGAAGAACACCUGAGGCGAAGGCGGCUUGCUGGGCCUGAUCUGACGCUGAGGCGCGAAAGCGUGGGGAGCGAACAGG